GAAGGUAAAAUUAUUAAAAACGCGCCUAAAGCGACUAACGUGUUAUUAUCUUUGCGGGAAGCCAGGAAGUUCGCUAAACGGCAUGUUCCGAAUUUCUAAGUAUCUUAAUAUAAGCAUUUAAAGAGGGCCACGCAAUUUGUGGGGUUUCAUUGGACGCGGCGCACCUAGUUUUGUUAUUUAAAGGCCAAUUCUAGAGAAAACUAUUAUUGAAUUCAUCUCUAAAGGAUUGGUUAACUAGUGUUACUAAUUAUUAAUUACAGUUAUACCAAGGCAGGAGUCCAACUUGGAGUUGUCCCUAGCAGUCCUCAACUCAACAAAUGCAUUGAUUCAAUAGACUAACAGUAGUGGGAUGUGAAUAUGAGGCCCAAUAUUUAUCAGUUUGAGUUUUGGAAGUUGAUUGUAUAUAAAAAGCUUCAACUGUAAAGCUGAAUAUUACUUCGGGCCUCCAAGUAGGCCCAAUUCCAAAUCAUCUGGGCAGCCUGUUUUGAUUGGCAAAUAUUAUGAGCCCUCACUAGGAACUGGACUUUAAGCGGAACCUAGAAAACACUAAAUUUGAUACACAAUAAAACUCAAUAAUUCUACAGAAAUAAUGUAUGAAUAGUUCGACUCUGCUCACAUGCUAAUUUUAAGUCUGUAUUUCAGGCUUGAAUUUACACUAAGCGACUGAUUAUCUAUUGAAUAUUAAUAGAAUUCAAACUGUUAAAUAGACUUGACCUAACCCAGAGCUACACUAGACAACUAUACCAAUAUAAAAUAUAACAAAAUGGAAGCAAAUUAUAGUCCAUAUAUAGUCCAGUUUAAUAGUCCCAUCACACACCAUCAAUGUCAAAUAUUACUGCUAUAUAGUCUAAAAUGUGAACUAACAAGCAUGAAUUUAAACUUGAAAUCAAUAGGGAGCAUUGAUCAUUCAUUCAACAAUCUGAAUACAAAUAUUGGAUUUGGUCCUUCGCAUAUUCGAAGUUGAAGAGUACCUGGAAUUACAAUGAACAAAGGAGAAAAGGAGUCAGCAACUGUUUAAUAACAGUGCAGCAUAUGGAUCGGCAGUCAAAAUCGAACAGCAACACGAUAUUUAGAACAAUUGGAAACCCAAUUUGACACCAUUACAACCAAUGACAUGAGCUCAAACCAAUAACACCACUAAUAGACCAAAACCAACCUCGAUUCCACUUUAAAACAUACUCAAAAUUGAACUCUACAACUUCUGAAAGUUUAACACCUCAUACCCAUGUAUUUCAAAUCUUAGUUACACUAAAAUUCAGAUUGAUAGCUGAGAGUUGGAACUGAUCUAAAAAAAACUAAUGAAACAGUGUUUUUUUAUUUUUCUAAAGAUUUAAGAUCUAAAAGAACUUUGAGGCUGGAAACUUCAGAGAAUUUUUCUCAGAUUUUCAGGCCUAAAAAACUUGUGAAUGAAGGCAUUAGGGUACCUUUUUAUACCCAAAGCAUUAGGGCAAUCCCUUUUAUUUGUGUUUACCCCUUAGUCCUCUUCUUAUUUUUCAAAUUUACCCAACUAGUCCCUAAAUUCCUAACUUGUUAUUCAAGUUAUAACAAUUAAAAUCUGAAUUUCACCUUUGACCCCACUCUAAAAGCUUCCUAGAUCUGUUAACAAAGAUUCUCCAAUGAACUACCCAAACCACCCUUGAAUUGCUUCUGUAAUUACCAACUUAAGUUAAUUAUUCUUACCUCUCUAAUUUACUAUGCUUAACCCUGUAAUUUUUAAUAUCAAUCAGCUAACAUAUUCCAAGCCAAAAUUUGAACACUAACUGACUGUUGAUUUUGGAUUGCAAACUACUUAUCAGAAAAAUUAAAGAAUAAUUAUCAUUAAAACAAAAAUGAAAACCAAACAAACCCUACAUUAAAUCUAAAAGAAAAUUAAACACUAAGGCAAACAAGAUCAAACAGAAUCAGAAAACUAAUAUGCACAAAGGAAAAUUAGUUUAAACAAAAAUCCAUGCACAGGCAGAUAUGCUGUCCUAUAGAACUAAAUUAAUUGAUAAAAAAAUAAAAUAAAAACUUAAUCAAGAUUAAUGACCUAAAACAAAACAUAAUUGAACCGAUUUACAUGAAACAUAAUUCAAAACUAAAAGGAAAAUAAGAAAAGAACUCAUCUAUGCGAGGAGUGGAAUAGAAUUCGAGCUUCGCUUCAACAUUCAAGGAAAGGCCUCCGUUCUGAACCCUCUAGGGUUCUUCCCGCCGUUGACUCGAAAUUCAAGCACUUCCAGCGAUGCUGCGAAGGGAACUAAUCAGGGAUUCGAGAAGAUAGCGGUGAGGAGGAUUAGAGGUGUUAUUUUGGGCAGGGUUGGAUGAGACACCGCCGUACACGGCGGAGACGGUAGACAUAUUUUAACCUAUCCGACAGGUUCAAGGGAGAUUUGAGGGAAGCGGGAUUCAGAUUUGGGUAGAGGAUGGAAAGGAGAACCUAUGGUGUAUUAUUGAUGAUCGUCUGAGCUGGCGCCGCCAUGGACGACGCACCAGUCAGACCUUUGAACGAAAAUUCAGGAUGAGCGGCUAAGAUUCGAUGAGUGGAAUUUAGGGUGUUGGAAAGAGGAGGAAGAGGAGAUUCAGGGAUGUUAAUUUGGGUGUUGUUAGAGACUUGUUGCCGGUGGCGACAAUUUAUGGCCGGUGGCGGAUGGCGGAGAAGCGGUGGUUAUAUGAAGAUGAUACACCGGUGUAAUUAGGGGUUUAUGAGACUGUGAAUGAGGGGUGUGGGUGGAUUCCGACACUAAUAUAUUAAUGCGGGGAGUUCCCGUCCGUUGGAUCACUUACCUCGACGGACCAGAUUUGAUAGGACGAAACAAUGUCGUUUUGGGUGUGGGUUGGUGCUGGAUCGGGUUUCAACCGUGGUUUUGGGUCAGGUGCAUAGUAUUUGGGCUGGUUUAUUUUGCAUAUAUGGCCCAAUUUGGUUUCAAAGCCCAACCCCACUUCAGUUUUUUUUUUUUAGAUCAAACUGUCAUUUCAUUGAUUUCAAAAAGUAUGUACAAUGCAUUUCUAUGGUAGUAGUAUGGACAUUCUACUACUCAUUUACAUUUAGUUCUAACUAAACAAUCUCAUAUAGACUAAUCAAUCAUAUAGCAAUUUGUUUUGUUUUCUUUCUUUAAUUAAAAUGCACAAAUAAAAUGCAAAUAAUUAAUAUAAAAGGUCACAAAAAUCUACGAAAUUGCAAAAUAAUGAACGAAAUCAAUUUGUUUGAAUUUCUGGGAGUAAUUCAUAUAUGGCAAAAAUUACAUGCUCACAAGUACAGCAUAUUUGGACAGUUGUUUGUCAUUUUUCAGCCCAAUUCUAGCAUUUUAUUCUUAAAAUGGGGACAGUUGUACAUAUGCUAGAACCUUCUGAUAUUUACCUAAUGUAAACCCGAUUUUAACCCUUCAGUUACUGAGUAUUUCAAUUCUAACCAGUCCUGACCUAACUUGUGAUUUUUAAAUAUCCUUAUGGAACCUCCUAGAAUAAUCUAAAAUAUUUCAAUAUUGAACUUCCUAAUCAUUGUUUCAAUUGUCCUUUUAUAUUUGAAAUUAGUGUUAAGAUUAAGCGCAUUCAGGGUUUAUCUAAACAAUAUAAACCUAAUUAGUAAAUUAUCAGGCUCACCUAAUUCACCUUAAACAAAUUUGAAUUUUAACAACUAACACAUCUAAAUAGUGAACAAACAAGAACUAGAACGAAAAUGAAAAGAAUUAAUCUACUCAGCUUGCAAGUUAAACAAAUUAAUUAACUAAUCUUUCUAACAGCUAACCAAAAGUAGACUAGGCAGCUCGUUAGUCAACUUGAGUAAAAUUAUUCUAACUAACUUAAACCAGACACUGACAUAAAACAAACAAGCAUAAGAGAGAAAUAGAAAGUAACAUGAAGAAAACAGAAAAAUCAUGUUGUUUAUCAAAACUUAAAGUUAACCCUAAUUAACCAAAAUUUAUGCAAUUGAAACUAAGCUUAAAAUACUUAUGAAAUUCAAUAUACUUCAACUAGUCAAAACCAACCGAUGCAAACAGACAAAAUCAAAUAAAAAAGAAAAAGAUCUAAAUCGUGUAGUUUUAAACAAGUAGCUAACCAUUCAAGAAAGCAGAAGAUAAAAAAAUGAAAAAGAAAACGGGAAAGGAAAUCACCUAAGACUUGGUUGGAAUCGAUCAGUCCAAACUCAACCAAUUUUUACGAAGUAAGAAUGAACUUUAGACGACCAUCCAUCGACUGCUCUUAUCAAAAGCACUCGAUUAAAGAUAAUCUUGGGUUCCAAUGAUCCAAAAACUGCCCGAAAUUAGAAAUUAAAAAGUUAGGGUUUUAGAUCUUAGAUCCAAGAUUCGAAAAGUUCAAGACUGAUUUGAAGGGAUAUGUGGUGAUAUUCAGAAAGAGGAGGUAAAGGCGGCUAUGGGGUGUUAAUUUGGUUGAUUUUAGAGGUACUACACCGCUGUAAGGCUUUUUCGGGCGGUGGAGAGAAACGGAGCCGGCGAGGAGUGACAGGGCGGCUAUGAUUUCUCGAUUGAGAGAAUUUGAGAGAGGGAAUGAAAUAGGUGUUAGGGGUUUGAGAGGGGGUUGGCUUCGGACAGUUAUAAGGAUUCAGGAUAUUGAGUUGCGAGCCCUUGGAUUAAAAGAAUCCAAUAGCUG
This 4587-nucleotide long non-coding RNA is filed under the name Nicotiana benthamiana. Its description in RNAcentral is "long non-coding RNA (NBEN_LNC039311)". The record is from RNAcentral. Lineage: Eukaryota; Viridiplantae; Streptophyta; Magnoliopsida; Solanales; Solanaceae.